AUUCCCCGCUCGCCGGCCUCAUCGCAGGCUGGCAGGAAAGGAUCCCCGGGGAUUUUUCUGCCACCGAAUACAUUAGCAUGGGAUAAUGGAAUAGGACCCUGUCCUCCUAUUUUCAGUUGGUUUUGGCAGCGCGAGGACUAGGGUAAUGAUUAAUAGGGAUAGUUGGGGGCAUUAAUAUUUAAUUGUCAGAGGUGAAAUUCUUGGAUUUAUGAAAGAUUAACUUCUGCGAAAGCAUCUGCCAAGGAUGUUUUCAUUAAUCAAGAACGAAAGUUAGGGGAUCGAAGACGAUCAGAUACCGUCGUAGUCUUAACCAUAAACGAUGCCGACCAGCGAUUAGGAGACGUUGAAUACAAAACACCACCAUCGGUGCGGUCGUCCUUGGCGUCGGUUUCGGCCGGCGCGGGGGCGGCUUAGCCCGGUGGCACCGGUGAAUGACUCCCCUAGCAGCUUGUGAGAAUUGUCUUGGAUUUAUGAAAGAUUAACUUCUGCGAAAGCAUCUGCCAAGGAUGUUUUCAUUAAUCAAGAACGAAAGUUAGGGGAUCGAAGACGAUCAGAUACCGUCGUAGUCUUAACCAUAAACGAUGCCGACCAGCGAUUA
This 598-nucleotide ribosomal RNA is filed under the name Acanthamoeba sp. RNAcentral's name for it is "SSU rRNA". The stretch from base 1 to 393 matches the Rfam family "Eukaryotic small subunit ribosomal RNA", at positions 727 to 1116 of the family's 1831-position model. Lineage: Eukaryota; Discosea; Longamoebia; Acanthamoebidae. The record is from RNAcentral.